AAAGCAGGCCAGGAUGGUCGCUCCGAUGAAUUUAUCGUCGGAGAGGAAAGUCCGAGCUCCAAAGGGUAGUGCAUCCAGGUAAUGCUGGAAGCGUCGGUCGGGCACAGGCCCCCCGGCGGAUGAAAAGAGCCACAGUGACGAUGCCGGUCGUUUUAACGGCCGGAGUGAAACGGGCAAUCUCUGCACGGAGCAAGGCCAAAUAAGAGGAGAGUUCCUGAUAUAUGUCAUCAGGGGCGGGUAAGUUUAAACGCCCCUGGCCCUGACGAAAUAUGUCAGGACACGGCGUGAUCCGCGCCGCUUGGAUCCUCGGGUAGGCCGCAAGAGUCCUUCCGGCAACGGAGGGAGUCAGUCAGAUGGCCAUCUCUUGUUGAUGUAUUGCCGGGUUAUACCGGUGGUCUUCAAGGAGAUACAGAACUCGGCUUAUGGCCUGCUUUUCAU
Molecule: RNase P RNA, 438 nt
Filed under: Candidatus Omnitrophota bacterium
Lineage: Bacteria; Pseudomonadati; Candidatus Omnitrophota
Description: Candidatus Omnitrophica bacterium (sediment metagenome) RNase P RNA component class A
Rfam family: Bacterial RNase P class A
About the family: Ribonuclease P (RNase P) is a ubiquitous endoribonuclease, found in archaea, bacteria and eukarya as well as chloroplasts and mitochondria. Its best characterised activity is the generation of mature 5'-ends of tRNAs by cleaving the 5'-leader elements of precursor-tRNAs.
Source: RNAcentral